This 76-nucleotide transfer RNA is filed under the name Citrobacter freundii. RNAcentral's name for it is "tRNA-Asn". It matches the Rfam family "tRNA". Rfam says of the family: Transfer RNA (tRNA) molecules are approximately 80 nucleotides in length. Their secondary structure includes four short double-helical elements and three loops (D, anti-codon, and T loops). Lineage: Bacteria; Pseudomonadati; Pseudomonadota; Gammaproteobacteria; Enterobacterales; Enterobacteriaceae. The record is from RNAcentral. RNAcentral also lists the same sequence under 3 other names.
UCCUCUGUAGUUCAGUCGGUAGAACGGCGGACUGUUAAUCCGUAUGUCACUGGUUCGAGUCCAGUCAAAGGAGCCA